CCAGACUCCUACGGGAGGCAGCAGUGGGGAAUAUUGCACAAUGGGGGAAACCCUGAUGCAGCGACGCCGCGUGAGCGAAGAAGUAUUUCGGUAUGUAAAGCUCUAUCAGCAGGGAAGAAAAAAUGACGGUACCUGACUAAGAAGCCCCGGCUAACUACGUGCCAGCAGCCGCGGUAAUACGUAGGGGGCGAGCGUUAUCCGGAUUCACUGGGUGUAAAGGGAGCGUAGACGGCCAUGCAAGCCAGGGGUGAAAGCCCGGGGCCCAACCCCGGGACUGCCCUUGGAACUGCAUGGCUGGAGUGCGGGAGGGGCAGGCGGAAUUCCUGGUGUAGCGGUGAAAUGCGUAGAUAUCAGGAGGAACACCGGCGGCGAAGGCGGCCUGCUGGACCGCGACUGACGUUGAGGCGCGAAAGCGUGGGGAGCGAACAGGAUUAGAUACCCCAGUACU
Molecule: ribosomal RNA, 448 nt
Filed under: uncultured bacterium
Lineage: Bacteria
Description: bacterial SSU rRNA
Rfam family: Bacterial small subunit ribosomal RNA
Source: RNAcentral